GACGAACGCUGGCGGCGUGCUUAACACAUGCAAGUCGAACGGAAAGGCCCUGCUUUUGUGGGGUGCUCGAGUGGCGAACGGGUGAGUAACACGUGAGUAACCUGCCCUUGACUUUGGGAUAACUUCAGGAGACUGGGGCUAAUACCGGAUAUGAGCUCUUGCUGCAUGGUGGGGGUUGGAAAGUUUCGGCGGUUGGGGCUGGACUCGCGGCUUAUCCGCUUGUUGGUGGGGUAGUGGCUUACCAAGGCUGUGACGGGUAGCCGGCCUGAGAGGGUGACCGGCCACAUGGGGACUGCGAUACGGCCCAGACGCCUACGGGAAGCAGCAGUGGGGAAUAGUGCACAAUGGGCGGAAGCCUGAUGCAGCAACGCCGCGUGCGGGAUGACGGCCUUCGGGUUGUAAACAGCUUUCGCCUGUGACGAAGCGUGAGUGACGGUAAUGGGUAAAGAAGCACCGGCUAACUACGUG
Molecule: ribosomal RNA, 468 nt
Filed under: uncultured bacterium
Lineage: Bacteria
Description: partial 16S ribosomal RNA
Rfam family: Bacterial small subunit ribosomal RNA
Source: RNAcentral